Molecule: ribosomal RNA, 260 nt
Filed under: uncultured Nitrososphaerota archaeon
Lineage: Archaea; Thermoproteati; Nitrososphaerota
Description: uncultured thaumarchaeote partial 16S ribosomal RNA
Rfam family: Archaeal small subunit ribosomal RNA
Source: RNAcentral
CUUUACAAUGCACGAAAGUGUGAUAAGGCAACUCCUUGUGCUUAUCCAAAAGAUAGGCUUUUUUAGUAUGUAAUGUAUACUAAGAAUAAAGUGAUGGGCGAAGAACCGGUGGCCAGCAGCCGCGGUAAUACCGGCGUCACAAGUGGAGAUCACGAUUACUGGGUCUAAAGUAGUUCGUAGCUGGUCAUAUAAGUCUCUUGUGAAAGUUCUGUAGCUUAACUCAGAAUUGCAAGAGAUACUGUAUGACUUGUAGACCGGAA